GAUGAACGCUGGCGGCGUGCCUAAUACAUGCAAGUCGUGCGGUAACACUUCGGGUGACGAGCGGCGGACGGGUGAGUAAUGCAUAGGAACGUGCCCCAAAGUGAGGGAUAACUGCUCGAAAGCGUAGCUAAUACCGCAUAUUAUCUUCGGAUCAAAGCUUCGGCGCGUUGGGAGCGGCCUAUGUCUGAUUAGCUAGUUGGUAGGGUAAAGGCCUACCAAGGCGACGAUCAGUAGCUGGUUUGAGAGGAUGAUCAGCCACACUGGGACUGAGACACGGCCCAGACUCCUACAGGAGGCGGCAGUAGGGAAUUUUCCACAAUGUGGACAACCCUGAUGGAUCAACGCCGCGUGAGUGAUGAAGGCCUUAGGGUUGUAAAGCUCUUUUAGAUGGGAAGAUAAUGACGGUACCAUCAGAAAAAGCCCCGGCUAACUUCGUGCCAGCAGCCGCAGUAA
Molecule: ribosomal RNA, 453 nt
Filed under: uncultured bacterium
Lineage: Bacteria
Description: partial 16S ribosomal RNA
Rfam family: Bacterial small subunit ribosomal RNA
Source: RNAcentral